This 551-nucleotide ribosomal RNA is filed under the name uncultured bacterium. RNAcentral's name for it is "partial 16S ribosomal RNA". It matches the Rfam family "Bacterial small subunit ribosomal RNA", at positions 355 to 899 of the family's 1533-position model. The record is from RNAcentral.
UGGGGAAUUUUGGACAAUGGGCGAAAGCCUGAUCCAGCAAUGCCGCGUGUGUGAAGAAGGCCUUCGGGUUGUAAAGCACUUUUGUCCGGAAAGAAAUGGCUCUGGUUAAUACCUGGGGUCGAUGACGGUACCGGAAGAAUAAGGACCGGCUAACUACGUGCCAGCAGCCGCGGUAAUACGUAGGGUCCAAGCGUUAAUCGGAAUUACUGGGCGUAAAGCGUGCGCAGGCGGUUGUGCAAGACCGAUGUGAAAUCCCCGAGCUUAACUUGGGAAUUGCAUUGGUGACUGCACGGCUAGAGUGUGUCAGAGGGGGGUAGAAUUCCACGUGUAGCAGUGAAAUGCGUAGAGAUGUGGAGGAAUACCGAUGGCGAAGGCAGCCCCCUGGAGUAACACUGACGCUCAUGCACGAAAGCGUGGGGAGCAAACAGGAUUAGAUACCCUGGUAGUCCACGCCCUAAACGAUGUCAACUAGUUGUUGGGGAUUCAUUUCCUUAGUAACGUAGCUAACGCGUGAAGUUGACCGCCUGGGGAGUACGGUCGCAAGAUUAAAA